This 644-nucleotide ribosomal RNA is filed under the name uncultured Bacilli bacterium. RNAcentral describes it as "bacterial SSU rRNA". It matches the Rfam family "Bacterial small subunit ribosomal RNA", at positions 74 to 704 of the family's 1533-position model. The record is from RNAcentral. Lineage: Bacteria; Bacillati; Bacillota; Bacilli.
AGGAGCUUGCUCUUCUUGGAUGAGUUGCGAACGGGUGAGUAACGCGUAGGUAACCUGCCUGGUAGCGGGGGAUAACUAUUGGAAACGAUAGCUAAUACCGCAUAAAAUGGAUUAUCGCAUGAUAAUGCAUUGAAAGGUGCAAAUGCAUCACUACCAGAUGGACCUGCGUUGUAUUAGCUAGUUGGUGGGGUAACGGCUCACCAAGGCGACGAUACAUAGCCGACCUGAGAGGGUGAUCGGCCACACUGGGACUGAGACACGGCCCAGACUCCUACGGGAGGCAGCAGUAGGGAAUCUUCGGCAAUGGACGGAAGUCUGACCGAGCAACGCCGCGUGAGUGAAGAAGGUUUUCGGAUCGUAAAGCUCUGUUGUAAGAGAAGAACGAGUGUGAGAGUGGAAAGUUCACACUGUGACGGUAUCUUACCAGAAAGGGACGGCUAACUACGUGCCAGCAGCCGCGGUAAUACGUAGGUCCCGAGCGUUGUCCGGAUUUAUUGGGCGUAAAGCGAGCGCAGGCGGUUAGAUAAGUCUGAAGUUAAAGGCUGUGGCUUAACCAUAGUACGCUUUGGAAACUGUUUAACUUGAGUGCAAGAGGGGAGAGUGGAAUUCCAUGUGUAGCGGUGAAAUGCGUAGAUAUAUGGAGG